GCCUAGCCAUAACAUAACAAUUAAACCACCUAUUGUUCGCCAAAUAACUACGAGUAAAAACUUAAAAUUUAAAAGACUUGACGGUACCUCAUAACAACCUAGAGGAGCCUGUCUAACAACCGAUACCCCACGAUCAACCCAACCCACUCUAGCCUAACAGUCUAUAUACCGCCGUCGCCAGCCUACCUUGUGAAAGAAACAAAGUGAGCCCAAUAGCCACACACUAAUACGACAGGUCGAGGUGUAACUCAUGAGUGGGCACAAGAUGGGCUACAUUUUCUAACACAGAAAAUACGAAUUUUUAGCCAUGAAAAAAAAACUGAAGGAGGAUUUAGCAGUAUACUGAGAACAACAUGCUCAGUCGAAAUUAACGCAAUGAGGUGCGUACACACCGCCCGUCAUCCCUGUAAAUUAAACCAAUAAAAAUACAUAAACACUUAACCACUACCUUAAGCAGGGCAAGUCGUAACAUGGUAAGUGUACUGGAAAGUGCGCUUAGAAA
Molecule: ribosomal RNA, 502 nt
Filed under: Oreocryptophis porphyraceus (black-banded trinket snake)
Lineage: Eukaryota; Metazoa; Chordata; Lepidosauria; Squamata; Colubridae
Description: partial 12S ribosomal RNA
Rfam family: Bacterial small subunit ribosomal RNA
Source: RNAcentral